UUUAUUUUUAGGUUGGGCCCAUGAAGUGUGUGCCCUGUAUAUUCCAUAGGUACAAUUUGCCAAUGCUUCCACAACGGAACCAAUUGUUUUACAGUCUAUUCCCCGUGAUCAUUGUAAUAAGGUAUCAAGAGUCUGUUAAAUUUGAAUUAAUUAUUAUUUUGCAUAAUAUUCAUUACAAUGUAUCAUACCUUCUUUUUUGAAAAGCAGUCCUAUAUUAGAAUGUUACUUGUCCCCCCCAAAGUUAUUUGUACCCCAAGAUACGGUUUUUAUUGUUGGCCUUAAAAAAAAAAACAGUUUGCUUUUUUCCUGUAUAUUUUUCUUCAUUUAGUAUGUUAUUGUUUUAUUCUCCUCUGCGUUUUAGGUUUCACCAUUACCCAAUGUGCCUUUAAAUACAAUUUUACCACUUAAUUGAAGGUACACGUUCCAACUGUGGAAGAAAUUGCAGCCAGCUUUAAGAUUUUAAAUGUUUUUGUGCAAAAAAACUUUUUAUUAUGUAAUUAAUAUUUAUUUUAUUUUAUUUUAUUUUACUUUUUAUUUUUAUUUUUUUUGAGACAGAGUCUCACUCUGUCACCCAGGCUGGAAUGCAGUGGCACGAUCUCGGCUCACAGCAACUUCUGCCUCCUGGGUUCAAGCAAUUCUCCUGCUUUAGCCUCCUGAGUAGCUGGGAUUACAGGUGCCCACUAUCACGCCCGACUAAUUUUUCUAUUUUUUAGUAGAGAUGGGGUUUUUUCUGUGUAUUUUUGCUUAUGGUAUAUACUUACAAAAAAGUUGAAUCAUUUUGCUUGAAUUUUUUGUUUGCUUUUGAAAAUUACACAGCAUCUUUUGUGUGUGAAUAAAUUGUGUUUCCGCUGUAUUUUUAAUAGAUACUUAGUCUGUAAUACAGAAUAUCAUGAGAUUCAAUAAACUGUAAAUUAAGCAACCCUUUGUGGUUGAAGGGCCUAGUUUGGUGUCUGGCAUGUAGUAUACACCGCUAGCAUCUGUUUAAAAGUGUGUGAACAUUUUGGAAGCUUCAAGAAAUGCAUUGUGUGAAAUUGUGCUCUAGAACUUACACUGCAUUAGCUGUAUGUGAGAUUGCUCAUAACCCUAUAUUAUGUUAGGUACACUGUGUUACCCUGAAAAAAAUCUUUGCCAUUCUUUCUAGUAAAAAAAUAUUAAAA
Long non-coding RNA from Nomascus leucogenys (northern white-cheeked gibbon), 1157 nucleotides. RefSeq lists it as uncharacterized. The record is from RefSeq and is a predicted model, not a curated record. The transcript has 2 exons. Lineage: Eukaryota; Metazoa; Chordata; Mammalia; Primates; Hylobatidae.